CAUGUUAUAUUCUUAAAGGCUUUUUUAUGAUUUCUGGUGCAGCUGGCAUUGGCGGCUUUGCAUCAUGCUAAUGAGGUGCAUAGAGUUCUGGACUAUGAAAGAUACCUAGAGAACAUGCUCAUACGCCAAAAUUCCAUUCACAGCAGCACAGAGCUCAUUCAGCAUCUGAAUGCGAUAGAUUCCUCGGUUAGGACAUAUAAAUUCCCUUCUGAGAAAGAUAUGAAACACAUCAACAGGAAGCUGAGGUCUUGUUGGGGCCUUAGUUCACAUGAUGAUAGUAAGAAACGAGACAAGAAAUCGAAGCACAAAUCCAAGCGGAGUGCAGG
This is a long non-coding RNA of Eucalyptus grandis, 326 nucleotides long. RefSeq lists it as uncharacterized. The transcript has 4 exons. The record is from RefSeq and is a predicted model, not a curated record. NCBI's taxonomy places the organism in Eukaryota, Viridiplantae, Streptophyta, Magnoliopsida, Myrtales, Myrtaceae.